ACGGGAGGCAGCAGUGGGGAAUAUUGGGCAAUGGGCGCAAGCCUGACCCAGCAAUGCCGCGUGAAGGAAGAAGGCUUUCGGGUUGUAAACUUCUUUUAAGCGGGACGAUAAUGACGGUACCACUUGAAUAAGCUCCGGCUAACUACGUGCCAGCAGCCGCGGUAAUACGUAGGGAGCAAGCGUUAUCCGGAUUUACUGGGUGUAAAGGGCGUGUAGGCGGGACAUCAAGUCAGAUGUGAAAGCACGGGGCUCAACUCCGUGUCUGCAUUUGAAACUGUAGUUCUUGAGUGUUGGAGAGGCUAACGGAAUUCCUAGUGUAGCGGUGAAAUGCGUAGAUAUUAGGAGGAACACCAGUGGCGAAGGCGGCUUACUGGACUGUAACUGACGUUGAGGCUCGAAAGCGUGGGGAGCAAACAGGAUUAGAUACCCUGGUA
Molecule: ribosomal RNA, 434 nt
Rfam family: Bacterial small subunit ribosomal RNA